AGAGUUUGAUCCUGGCUCAGAGCGAACGCUGGCGGCGCGCCUAAUACAUGCAAGUCGAGCGAGAAGACGUAGCAAUACGUUUGUAAAGCGGCGAACGGGUGAGGAAUACAUGGGUAACCUACCCUCGAGUGGGGAAUAACUAACCGAAAGGUUAGCUAAUACCGCAUACGACUCCUGGUCUGCGGAUCGGGAGGGAAAGCGAUACCGUGGGUAUCGCGCUCUUGGAUGGGCUCAUGUCCUAUCAGCUUGUUGGUGAGGUAACGGCUCACCAAGGCUUCGACGGGUAGCUGGUCUGAGAGGACGAUCAGCCACACUGGCACUGCGACACGGGCCAGACUCCUACGGGAGGCAGCAGUAAGGAAUAUUGCGCAAUGGGCGACAGCCUGACGCAGCGACGCCGCGUGGGGGAUGAAGGUCUUCGGAUUAUAAACCCCUUUCGGCAGGGAAGAUGGAACGGGUAACCGUUCGGACGGUACCUGCAGAAACAGCCACGACUAACUUCGUGCCAGCAGCCGCGGUAAUACGAAGGUGGCAAGCGUUGUUCGGAUUUACUGGGCGUACAGGGAGCGUAGGCGGUUGGGUAAGCCCUCCGUGAAAUCUCCGGGCCUAACCCGGAAAGUGCGGAGGGGACUGCUCGGCUAGAGGAUGGGAGAGGAGCGCGGAAUUCCCGGUGUAGCGGUGAAAUGCGUAGAGAUCGGGAGGAAGGCCGGUGGCGAAGGCGGCGCUCUGGAACAUUUCUGACGCUGAGGCUCGAAAGCGUGGGGAGCAAACAGGAUUAGAUACCCUGGUAGUCCACGCCU
This 800-nucleotide ribosomal RNA is filed under the name uncultured bacterium. RNAcentral describes it as "bacterial SSU rRNA". It matches the Rfam family "Bacterial small subunit ribosomal RNA", at positions 8 to 802 of the family's 1533-position model. The record is from RNAcentral.